RNAcentral lists this long non-coding RNA (464 nucleotides) under Calidris pugnax (ruff). RNAcentral describes it as "lncRNA (ENSCPUG00000010088.1)". Lineage: Eukaryota; Metazoa; Chordata; Aves; Charadriiformes; Scolopacidae. The record is from RNAcentral.
GUUUUUCUUAAACCAGCUGCUGACAGGAUCUGAAGCAUCUCCACAAACCUCCAGCCGUGAUCCAGGUGUCCCCACAGUGGCCCGAAUGGGCCCUAGAGGCAAGAAGAUUAUUUAAACGCGCCGUGUUCCCGCUGGUCCUUCCCACGUGGUCAACCCUUAAAGGCUGCAGAUGCUCCUCCACCUUCGCUGGCUGUCCCAUCUGCCAGGAACUGAAGAUCACACCCUCCACCAAACCUCCCACCCCGGGACCCCCUCCUUGGAUGGAGGCAGAGGAAGCUGCCCCGAGGAUUCCCCCAUUGUCUUCCUCGCUCCCGGGGAGACCCCAUGACACAGCUGGGGCUGUGACCGCGUGAGGGAGGAAUCUCGGAUGGGAUGUGAGGAGCGGGAAGGACCCGCGGCGCAGUUUGGUUUGGCAGCCCCUUACGGACAAUAAAAGGUCAGGCUGCAGAGGAGCUUGUUUGGUU